Molecule: long non-coding RNA, 967 nt
Filed under: Homo sapiens (human)
Lineage: Eukaryota; Metazoa; Chordata; Mammalia; Primates; Hominidae
Description: long non-coding RNA NONHSAT167289.1
Source: RNAcentral
AGAACCUCUGAAUUGGCACGCAGGGCUGUCGGUGUCGGUGAGACUUACACGUUUAUAGUGAGAAUUCUUCCCAGAAAGGGUGACCAAUAACACUGAAAAAAAUAACAUAACCAUGGCUUUCCUUGGAGUAUUUAAAAAUAUUCUUUGUCCAUUUACGAUGACCCGGAAUUUCACACCAUCUGCUGGACGUGAAAUGAAACCCAGAAAGUGAAAGGGGAAGAGACGACGGUCUGCAGGCUUCAGGGCCCAGCCGUGGGCCCAGGUCCAUGUGGCUGCUGCCUUCCCUUUCCGUGCUGUGCGUAGCCUCCUCUUCUCUGACCGCUACCCCGCACCCCCUCUCAUUUCCUCCCUACUUUCCAUGGGGUCUCACUUUAUUUGGAUGACUUUCUGGGGAAGUUGGGUGGGUACCCAAAAACAGAGGCAUUUUCAGCAUGGAAAAAGCCCUUAAAACUAACACUUCAGUUCAUUUGAAUAAAAAAAUCCCCAAAGAUAUCAAAGGCUCUGAAAUGAUAUCAUCUACCUAAAUAUGACGCUUAGAAAAUCUGUGGGGAUGAUGCCUAGAAGCCCUCUAGAAACGCCGCUGUGGACAAGGGCACCCCAACUGUACUAGUGAAAAGUCAGCACAAAAGUAGAUUAACGAGCAAGAGAGUGAGGAAUUAAUGCCUUUCUUGCUAUGUUUCACAGCACACUUAAUUGCCCUUCAAAUUCUUCCUUCACAGCCAUCAGCCUGUAAGCUGGAUCUGGGAGGCUUUGUUUCUGGAGACUUCUGCUUUCUUUGGAAGGCAGGCUCAAACCUGAUCCUCUAUACAACGGUCCCGAGUUAAAUCUGGCCAGUCUGAAAAGCCAGCCAUGCUGGCGAGUGCAUGAAAAUCCUGCUUCAAAGGCAGAGAGCCGGGCUCCACGCGACAUUCCGCACCUUCCUCAGGGUGGCUUCUCCUUCUCCCUGGCCUCGUACCCUAGAACUUAA